RNAcentral lists this ribosomal RNA (253 nucleotides) under uncultured bacterium. RNAcentral's name for it is "partial 16S ribosomal RNA". It matches the Rfam family "Bacterial small subunit ribosomal RNA", at positions 524 to 776 of the family's 1533-position model. The record is from RNAcentral.
UACGUAGGAGGCAAGCGUUGUCCGGAAUUACUGGGCGUAAAGCGCGUGUAGGUGGUGGGACAAGUCUGCUGUGAAAGCGCCUGGCUUAACCGGGCGAGGUCGGCGGAAACUGUACGGCUUGAGGCCGGGAGGGGGUAGCGGAAUUCCCAGUGUAGCGGUGAAAUGCGUAGAUACUGGGAGGAACACCAGUGGCGAAGGCGGCUACCUGGACCGGUUCUGACGCUGAGGCGCGAAAGCGUGGGUAGCAAACAGG